Molecule: long non-coding RNA, 895 nt
Filed under: Equus caballus (horse)
Lineage: Eukaryota; Metazoa; Chordata; Mammalia; Perissodactyla; Equidae
Description: lncRNA (ENSECAG00000048427.1)
Source: RNAcentral
GUGAGGAGGUCCUGGCUGUGCUGCUGGAGAAGGAGGCUGUGCAGAGAGGCCGCGGGGGAUGAGGUGCCACAUGGACAGAGGGGCCCCGAGGCGGGAGAGCUCACGUGUGCCAGCCGACAGGCAGCCCAUGUGACGGGGGUCUUCUCAGGCCUUGCGCCCAUCACCAACUGAACGCGGCUGUGUGCGUGGUUUCAGCUGACUGACGCGGAGCAGAAGGCCAGCCCAGUCAACUGGAGACUCACGAGAAAUAGUAAAUCACUGUGGCUUUAAGACACUAAGUUCUGGAGCGUUCGUUACACAGCGAUAGUUCACUGAAACAGGAGCCUUUGCUGAACCGAGACACCAGGAGCCAGGAAACCAGGAAACUACGUCUCCCGUCAGAGUCUCACUCGCUGUGAAAAUGGCGUAUCUCAGAUAGGGGCUAUUCCUGCAACCUGGAUCCUGGAUCCCGCGAGUGGAGGAGAGAUGCAGAUGCUGUAGUUGCCACAGGCGACUGUAAUAUUCUUCACGCUUCUGCUGACACCCUCCAGGAUGGAGGCCAUAAAACAGAGUCAGGGGACAUCAGAUUCCCUUCCCGGGGUGUGACAAGCAUGAGGUCUGGAACACGCUUGGACUCAAUGAACGUGCGUUGCUCUGAACUGAAUUAUCAGCUGCCUUUGUCCCAGACUUCACCCAUCCUUGAGAAUGAGCAUCUAGCUAACUAGGGGCAAGCGGUCCAUCCUCUAUGGUAGACACUGCCUGGUAGAUACAUAACCCUGGCCGGUAGCAAGGCGCCACAGUUCACUGAAAAGAAGAUGCGGUACAGACUCACGUGCCAGCUCCACCACGUGUUGGCCAGCCCAGCCGAGAAGAAACUUCGACUUCAGAUGACGCUUUCCAAAAGGUUCCACGUUCA